This 203-nucleotide ribosomal RNA is filed under the name uncultured bacterium. RNAcentral's name for it is "partial 16S ribosomal RNA". It matches the Rfam family "Bacterial small subunit ribosomal RNA", at positions 332 to 526 of the family's 1533-position model. The record is from RNAcentral.
AUUACUCCUACGGGAGGCAGCAGUGGGGAAUAUUGGACAAUGGGCGCAAGCCUGAUCCAGCCAUGCCGCGUGAGUGAAGAAGGCCUUCGGGUUGUAAAGCUCUUUCGGCUGGGAAGAAAUCGCAUCUCCUAAUACGGGGUGUGGAUGACGGUACCAGCAUAAGAAGCACCGGCUAACUACGUGCCAGCAGCCGCGGUAAUAAU